Molecule: unclassified non-coding RNA, 298 nt
Filed under: uncultured Nectriaceae
Lineage: Eukaryota; Fungi; Ascomycota; Sordariomycetes; Hypocreales; Nectriaceae
Also listed under: 2 other names
Description: sequence contains ITS1
Rfam family: 5.8S ribosomal RNA (bases 1-105)
Source: RNAcentral
AAAAUGCGAUAAGUAAUGUGAAUUGCAGAAUUCAGUGAAUCAUCGAAUCUUUGAACGCACAUUGCGCCCGCCAGUAUUCUGGCGGGCAUGCCUGUUCGAGCGUCAUUUCAACCCUCAAGCCCAGCUUGGUGUUGGGAGCUGCAGUCCUGCUGCACUCCCCAAAUACAUUGGCGGUCACGUCGAGCUUCCAUAGCGUAGUAAUUUACACAUCGUUACUGGUAAUCGUCGCGGCCACGCCGUUAAACCCCAACUUCUGAAUGUUGACCUCGGAUCAGGUAGGAAUACCCGCUGAACUUAA